RNAcentral lists this ribosomal RNA (501 nucleotides) under uncultured bacterium. Its description in RNAcentral is "partial 16S ribosomal RNA". It matches the Rfam family "Bacterial small subunit ribosomal RNA", at positions 28 to 523 of the family's 1533-position model. The record is from RNAcentral.
GACGAACGCUGGCGGCAUGCCUUACACAUGCAAGUCGAACGGCAGCACGGGUGCUUGCACCUGGUGGCGAGUGGCGAACGGGUGAGUAAUACAUCGGAACGUACCUUAUCGUGGGGGAUAACGCAGCGAAAGCUGUGCUAAUACCGCAUACGCCCUGAGGGGGAAAGCGGGGGAUCGAAAGACCUCGCGCGAUUAGAGCGGCCGAUGCCUGAUUAGCUUGUUGGUGGGGUAAAAGCCCACCAAGGCGACGAUCAGUAGCUGGUCUGAGAGGACGAUCAGGCACACGGGGGCUGAGACACGGCCCAGACGCCUGCGGGAGGCAGCAGUGGGGAAUUUUGGACAAUGGGGGCAACCCUGAUCCAGCAAUGCCGCGUGAGUGAAGAAGGCCUUCGGGUUGUAAAGCUCUUUUGUCAGGGAAGAAACACCGGCUCUAACACAGUCCGGGAAUGACGGUACCUGAAGAAUAAGCACCGGCUAACUACGUGCCAGCAGCCGCCGUAA